UACGUAGGUGGCAAGCGUUACUCGGAAUCACUAGGCGUAAAGCGCAGGUAGGUGGCUUGAUAAGUCUAUUGUGAAAGCUCCCGGCUCAACUGGGAGAGGUCAAUGGAUACUGUUAGGCUUGAGUGUGGUAGGGGAAGCUGGAAUUCCUGGUGUAGCGGUGAAAUGCGUAGAUAUCAGGAGGAACACCUAAGGCGAAAGCAGGCUUCUGGGCCAACACUGACACUGAGCUGCGAAGGCUAGGGGAGCAAACAGG
RNAcentral lists this ribosomal RNA (253 nucleotides) under uncultured bacterium. Its description in RNAcentral is "partial 16S ribosomal RNA". It matches the Rfam family "Bacterial small subunit ribosomal RNA", at positions 524 to 776 of the family's 1533-position model. The record is from RNAcentral.